Molecule: ribosomal RNA, 790 nt
Filed under: Heliopora coerulea
Lineage: Eukaryota; Metazoa; Cnidaria; Anthozoa; Scleralcyonacea; Helioporidae
Description: eukaryotic LSU rRNA
Rfam family: Eukaryotic large subunit ribosomal RNA
Source: RNAcentral
AAACCGUUGAAAGGGAAGCGAAUGGAGUUAGCAAUUCGCCUCGCCAGAUUCAGUCUUUUGCGCUCCGUGACGUGCGCGCACUCGAUCUUCGUAGACGAGUCGAGUACGGAUGCGGGACGUAGGCGGCGCACUUCUGGUAGGUGAGCGUCAACGUCGGUUACCCUGCGAGCCAGAAGGCCGUGAGGAAGGUAGAUCUUUCGGGAUUGUUAAGCCUUGCGAUCGCAUGUCUCGUGGGUGACUGUGGCCUGUCGCAGCGCGUGCCUCCCUUUUGGGUGGGCUGGUGUCCUGUUUUGUUGGUCCGGUUGUCGACUGUGGCGGACGGCACGCCUGUGCGCUCGAACCGCUGCCGGUCAACAGGGCGGUGAUCGCACACUACGCGCUGAGGACGUUGGCGUCCAUACGGCUCUAUCCGACCCGUCUUGAAACACGGACCAAGGAGUCUAACAUGUGCGCGAGUCUCUGGGUGAUCGAAACCCGUGGGCGCAAUGAAAGUAAAGGCAGCUUUGGCUGCUGAGGUGAGAAGCCCUUCCUUCUUGGAGAGGCCGCAUCAUCGACCGACCUAUUCUACUCUUAGAAAGGUUUGAGUAAGAGCGUACCUGUUGGGACCCGAAAGAUGGUGAACUAUGCCUGAAUAGGGUGAAGCCAGCGGAAACACUGGUGGAAGCUCGUAGCGAUUCUGACGUGCAAAUCGAUCGUCGAAUUUGGGUAUAGCGGCGAAAGACUAAUCGAACCAUCUAGUAGCUGGUUCCCUCCGAAGUUUCCCUUAGGAUAGCUGGAGCUCGGAUGCAGU